This 607-nucleotide long non-coding RNA is filed under the name Rattus norvegicus (Norway rat). RNAcentral's name for it is "long non-coding RNA NONRATT030468". The record is from RNAcentral. Lineage: Eukaryota; Metazoa; Chordata; Mammalia; Rodentia; Muridae.
AAAAGAUCUUUACCAAUCCUACAACAGAUAGAGGCCUUAUAUCCAAAAUAUACAAAGAACUCAAGAAGUUAGACCGCAGGGAAACAAAUAACCCUAUUAAAAAAUGGGGCUCAGAGCUAAACAAAGAAUUCACAGCUGAGGAAUGCCGAAUGGCUGAGAAACACCUAAAGAAAUGUUCAACAUCUUUAGUCAUAAGGGAAAUGCAAAUCAAAACAACCCUGAGAUUUCACCUCACACCAGUGAGAAUGGCUAAGAUCAAAAACUCAGGGGACAACAGAUGCUGGCGAGGAUGUGGAGAAAGAGGAACACUCCUCCAUUGUUGGUGGGAUUGCAAACUGGUACAACCAUUCUGGAAAUUAGUCUGGAGGAUCCUCAGAAAAUUGGACAUUGAACUGCCUGAGGAUCCAGCUAUACCUCUCUUGGGCAUAUACCCAAAAGAUGCCCCAACAUAUAAAAAAGACACGUGCUCCACUAUGUUCAUAGCAGCCUUAUUUAUAAUAGCCAGAAGCUGGAAAGAACCCAGAUGCCCUUCAACAGAGGAAUGGAUACAGAAAAUGUGGUACAUCUACACAAUGGAAUAUUACUCAGCUAUCAAAAACAAUGACUU